GCCUUCCCAACGGCAACUUCCGGCUGCGGCGGAACAUCAUCAUGGGGCCGUCAUUGCCGGCAUCCCCGACGGCAGCGAGGCUGUGCCCUCCUUCCCAAAGCUGCCGGCGUCCGAGCAUGUUUACAGCUGGAAAAAUACAACUGAUAUAGAGAACCAUAGAAUUAUUUAGGUCGGAAAAGACCUCUGAGGUCAAGUCCAACUAUUAGCACAGCACUACCAAGUACAGCACUGCACCAUGUACCUGAGUGUCACAUCUACACAACUUUUAAAUACUUUCAGGGAUGGGAACUCAACCACUUCCCUGGGCACCCUGUUCCAGAGUUGGUAACUCUUUCAGUGAAGAAACUUCUCAUGUCCAACCAAAACCUCGCUGGAGCAACUUGAAAUUCUGUCCUCUUUUUAACUCUGAGAAGAGACCAACAAUCCCCACAACCCCCUCGCUAUAACCUCCUGUCAGGUAGUUGUAGAGAGCAAUAAGGUCUCCCCUCAGCUCCCUUUUCUCAAGGUGGAAACAAAUCAGAGUGAUAUGACACACGGAAUUCAACAUUAACUUAUUUUUUCAGAAAGAACUGUUGAUGAUGUGUUUAGAAAGAGUGCUUGAUGUUCAGGGAAAAAAAGAGAGGAGAACAUGGUGCUUAAGUGUGGGUCUGGCCUUGGUAGAGAAAGAAGCAACUGCUCCACUUGCAGACACGACACCAACAUGCUUCUUUGCAAUGUGACCUAAUCCGCACCUACAGGAAAUCAGUUGGAAUGACUGUUUCAAAGUGGAAUGACUGUUUCAAAGUGAGAAGCUCCAGAUGUACAACUCCUCACAGGAAGAACUGGUUUUCACCUCUGAAGCUCAUUCCUGGCUUGUAACAACUUAAUGUGUAUCAGGCUACUGACCUCUUCCUCAAGCACCAGGUGGCAGGUCUGGCUGAAGCCUUACAGAUUCUGUCAUUCAAAAUGAAACCAUUUGCUAAAAAA
Molecule: long non-coding RNA, 966 nt
Organism: Lepidothrix coronata (blue-crowned manakin)
Lineage: Eukaryota; Metazoa; Chordata; Aves; Passeriformes; Pipridae
Exons: 2
Source: RefSeq, a predicted model, not a curated record